RNAcentral lists this non-coding RNA (27 nucleotides) under Mus musculus (house mouse). Lineage: Eukaryota; Metazoa; Chordata; Mammalia; Rodentia; Muridae. The record is from RNAcentral.
UGUUCUGAAGAUUCUUUAAUGGCUAAG